This is a long non-coding RNA of Homo sapiens (human), 225 nucleotides long. RefSeq lists it as uncharacterized. The transcript is spliced from 3 exons. The record is from RefSeq and is a predicted model, not a curated record. NCBI's taxonomy places the organism in Eukaryota, Metazoa, Chordata, Mammalia, Primates, Hominidae.
GAAGGACCAACUAAGCUUUUGUGCAAAGGCUGAAGAAGCAGGAACCAGAGAUGCACAAACAGGAGAUAAUGCAAGUUCUGAAGUUCUGAAUGAAAAAAAUUAAGUGAUAUUUACUAUUCUACAGCGACUUGUUGAGGUGCUAAGGAAAGCCAUGCGAUGCCACGCCUGGCAACAAACCCACACUGCUUCAACUUCCUGUGAAGAAAGCCCUACCAUGAUCCCCAC